RNAcentral lists this ribosomal RNA (253 nucleotides) under uncultured bacterium. RNAcentral's name for it is "partial 16S ribosomal RNA". It matches the Rfam family "Bacterial small subunit ribosomal RNA", at positions 524 to 776 of the family's 1533-position model. The record is from RNAcentral.
UACAGAGGGUGCUAGCGUUGUUCGGAAUCAUUGGGCGUAAAGAGCUCGUAGGCGGUUUGUCGCGUCUGCUGUGAAAACUCGGGGCUUAACUCCGGGCCUGCAGUGGGUACGGGCAGACUAGAGUGCGGUAGGGGAGACUGGAAUUCCUGGUGUAGCGGUGAAAUGCGCAGAUAUCAGGAGGAACACCGGUGGCGAAGGCGGGUCUCUGGGCCGUAACUGACGCUGAGGAGCGAAAGCGUGGGGAGCGAACAGG